GAUGAACGCUGGCGGCGUGCUUAACACAUGCAAGUCGAACGAGCCUUCGGGCUAGUGGCGGACGGGUGAGUAACGCGUGGGAAUCUGCCCUCAGGAGGGGGAUAACGGCCGGAAACGGCCGCUAAUACCCCAUAUGCCGAGAGGUGAAAUGAAUUUCGCCUGAGGAUGAGCCCGCGUCUGAUUAGCUAGUUGGUGGGGUAAUGGCCCACCAAGGCGACGAUCAGUAGCUGGUCUGAGAGGAUGAUCAGCCACACUGGGACUGAGACACGGCCCAGACUCCUACGGGAGGCAGCAGUGGGGAAUUUUCCGCAAUGGGCGAAAGCCUGACGGAGCAACGCCGCGUGAGGGAUGAAGGCCUCUGGGCUGUAAACCUCUUUUCUCAAGGAAGAAGACAUGACGGUACUUGAGGAAUAAGCCACGGCUAAUUCCGUGCCAGCAGCCGCGGUAAUACGGGAGUGGCAAGCGUUAUCCGGAAUUAUUGGGCGUAAAGCGUCCGCAGGCGGCCUUGUAAGUCUGUCGUUAAAGCGUGGAGCUUAACUCCAUUUAAGCGAUGGAAACUACAAGGCUUGAGUGUGGUAGGGGCAGAGGGAAUUCCCGGUGUAGCGGUGAAAUGCGUAGAUAUCGGGAAGAACACCAGUGGCGAAGGCGCUCUGCUGGGCCAUAACUGACGCUCAUGGACGAAAGCCAGGGGAGCGAAAGGGAUUAGAUACCCCUGUAGUCCUGGCCGUAAACGAUGAACACUAGGUGUCGGGGGAAUCGACCCCCUCGGUGUCGUAGCUAACGCGUUAAGUGUUCCGCCUGGGGAGUACGCACGCAAGUGUGAAACUCAAAGGAAUUGACGGGGGCCCGCACAAGCGGUGGAGUAUGUGGUUUAAUUCGAUGCAACGCGAAGAACCUUACCAGGGUUUGACAUCCUGCGAAUCCCUUGGAAACGAGGGAGUGCCUUCGGGAGCGCAGAGACAGGUGGUGCAUGGCUGUCGUCAGCUCGUGUCGUGAGAUGUUGGGUUAAGUCCCGCAACGAGCGCAACCCACGUCUUUAGUUGCCAGCAUUCAGUUGGGCACUCUAGAGAGACCGCCGGUGAUAAACCGGAGGAAGGUGUGGAUGACGUCAAGUCAUCAUGCCCCUUACAUCCUGGGCUACACACGUACUACAAUGCUACGGACAAAGGGUUGCAAGCUCGCGAGAGUUAGCUAAUCCCAUAAACCGUGGCUCAGUUCAGAUCGUAGGCUGCAACUCGCCUACGUGAAGGAGGAAUCGCUAGUAAUCGCAGGUCAGCAUACUGCGGUGAAUACGUUCCCGGGCCUUGUACACACCGCCCGUCACACCAUGGAAGUUGGCCAUGCCCGAAGUCGUUACUCCAACCCUUGUGGAGGAGGACGCCGAAGGUGGGGCUGAUGACUGGGGUGAAGUCGUAACAAGGUAGCCGUACCGGAAGGUGCGGCUGGAUCACCUCCU
RNAcentral lists this ribosomal RNA (1456 nucleotides) under Cyanobium sp. JJ7-3. RNAcentral's name for it is "16S ribosomal RNA". It matches the Rfam family "Bacterial small subunit ribosomal RNA". Lineage: Bacteria; Bacillati; Cyanobacteriota; Cyanophyceae; Synechococcales; Prochlorococcaceae. The record is from RNAcentral.